GAUGAAGAACGCAGUGAAAUGCGAUAAGUAAUGUGAAUUGCAGAACUCAGUGAAUCAUCGAAUCUUUGAACGCACAUUGCGCCCCCUGGCAUUCCGGGGGGCAUGCCUGUCCGAGCGUCAUUUCUGCCCUCCAGCCCGGCUGGGUGUUGGGCGCUGUCCCCCCGGGGACACGCCCCAAAGGCAGUGGCGGCGCCGCGUCGGGUCCUCGAGCGUAUGGGGCUUUGUCACCCGCUCGGGACGGACUCGUCGGCGCUGGUCUUCCUCCAGGCGACCCUUCGGGGCUCGUCUUCCUUCGGUUGACCUCGGAUCAGGUAGGGUUACCCGCUGAACUUAAGCAUAUCAAUAAGCGGAGGA
RNAcentral lists this unclassified non-coding RNA (354 nucleotides) under soil metagenome. Its description in RNAcentral is "partial contains 5.8S ribosomal RNA, internal transcribed spacer 2, and large subunit ribosomal RNA". The stretch from base 1 to 120 matches the Rfam family "5.8S ribosomal RNA", at positions 35 to 154 of the family's 154-position model. The record is from RNAcentral.